AUCAGAGGUCAGGCAAGGUCUCUUCACCACUGUGCAUGCCAGAAGAGCUGGUGCUGCAGCUUUGGUGGAUUCUCCUAUCUGCGUCUUCCAUCUCUUCAUAGGAACUCCGGGAUUACAGACAUGCUUGCUACUGUAGCCAGAUGAUGGCAGAUAUGUACAAAUUCUCAGGUUAUGCCAGAAGGAUAUUGAGUGAAGUCUCACUGGGCCAGGACCUACAGUAGACUCCAGUAGGCUGCUACCCACUCCCUGAUGUCAGGCAGCUUCCUGCUUCUGAUGGAGAAGUGGUGAGCUUUCAUGGCGUGCAAGGGUCUUAUGUUGCUUGGGCUGAACUGAUCCCUGCUUCAGUUUCCCAUGUGUUAAGAUGAAUUAUAGGCACAUGCCACCAUGGCCAACUUCUGUGGAUCACCUGAUAUGGGACACAUAUUUUGGAAGAAGCCUUUAAACAAACAUGCUUGGGUCUAGAGGAGAAGGAGCCAUAACAUCACUCCAUUGCCAGAUUUUACAUGAAGUGGAAUAGCAUAAA
Molecule: non-coding RNA, 523 nt
Organism: Cricetulus griseus (Chinese hamster)
Lineage: Eukaryota; Metazoa; Chordata; Mammalia; Rodentia; Cricetidae
Source: RefSeq, a predicted model, not a curated record